RNAcentral lists this unclassified non-coding RNA (202 nucleotides) under Hevea brasiliensis (rubber tree). The record is from RNAcentral. Lineage: Eukaryota; Viridiplantae; Streptophyta; Magnoliopsida; Malpighiales; Euphorbiaceae.
GCCGAAUAUAAAGUCCACCGUCCCGUAUAUGUCACAUUCUCUAUAGAAUUGUCUUUGGGAGUGGACAUAAAGAGUGUCUUGAUAUCCUUCAAAGCUACAUCUAUAGAAUACCGAGAGAUCUGCACCAGAACGCACAGCCACUGCCUGAUGAUUUUGCGGGCCGGCUGUGUUUCUAAAUGUCAUGUCCCGUGCAAUAAACCCG